CCGGUACCGUAAAUAAAUAAGCCCUACCCUGAAAAUAAGCCCUAGUGUGUUUUUUGUGACUAAAAUUAAUAUAAGACCCGGUCUUAUUUUCGGAGAAACACGGUAUCCAGCAAUCAACAAGUUACAUUUGUAACCUAUGUUUAUAUGUUAGUCACAUCCCAAUGUUAGAAAUGAACUUAUUUUUAACACUGGGUUGCUUCUCUUUGUAUUAUAUGUAAAGUUAAACUCCCCCUCCAAGUACUGAGACAAUCUAGCUUCAGCAUAAUUGUCCCUAUAGAUGGUAUCUGGUGUAGCCUAAAACGCCCCAUCGCGAUGCAUUGGCAACGUAGGGCACAUGCGCAUCAAUUGUCACAUUUGAUCAAUAUAAUUGCACUGAAACUAACAAACACUUGUUUAAAAGCAGGUGCGUAAACACUCCUGACUCUAUUGCCUGCUGGGAGGGUAUUCCUACAGCCAUUUGUAAAAGUGACAAACUCUAUUACCUUUGCCUAAAAAAAAAAAAAAAAAAAAGUCUUCACUAGAGUGUACCUAGUGGUUGGGUGAUUGACAGUCACUAGAGGAACACUGCCUUACAGGAGAUGUAAUACGUUACAUUUCUCACAAACAUCAGUCUCCAGGGACAACAUCUAGACACCAAGGCCAUUGCAUUAAAAGGACACUAUAGGCACUCCGACCACUUUAUCUCAAGGAAGUGGUGUGUUUGGGACCCCCUUCCUUUUAAUCCUGCAGGUGAAAACAUUGCUGUUCUGCAGAACAACAAUAUUUUCAGUGCUGGUUUUAAAUGCCUCUCAAAGGCGGUCAGUCGCUAGAGGCGCUUUGGAUGAAAUUGCAUGCACACUAGCCUUGCUAUACUUUCCUAUGGGAAAAUAUUGGAUUGACUGAGAUCAUCAGUAGCGGCCAUGCACCACAGGUUUUCCACACAUUGCACAAAUGGUUGACCCUUACAACAUGGCCUUAUGUACAAUGGUACAGUGUGAAUUUUCUGGACCCCCAAAGACCACUUCAUACAGAACCACCAAUAUGUAUUUGUUUGAAUUUAUUGUGUGCAUAUAAACUUUGCAUGACUAAUAUAAAUACUGUGUUGUGAACAGAUAACAUGUCCUGAUCGAAUUGAUUUUCCACCGUUCUUUUAAUUUUUAUUGACUGUUUUGGAGGUUCCCUUCACAAUUUUGAUCAACAAUAAAUGAUAUGCAUCAUUUGUCUAUAAUGUAGUUUUUGGAAGAAUGUAUUGAGGGAAUUCAUAAAUUAAUUAAAUUUGUACAUAUUGGUGAGAAUCCUCGUGCAUGGUUUUUAUUCAUUUAUUUGUAGUUGUAAGCCUGUGAAUCCCAUCUUUAACAAGGCAUUUGAAAGGAUGUAUCAAGGGAAGCAGGGAUUUGCGCAAUACUUUGUUUCCAUAGCAACCAGCCUUAUGGAAGACUAGCAAAG
Molecule: non-coding RNA, 1425 nt
Organism: Pelobates cultripes (western spadefoot toad)
Lineage: Eukaryota; Metazoa; Chordata; Amphibia; Anura; Pelobatidae
Source: the annotation of a GenBank genome assembly